UACGAAGGGGGCUAGCGUUGCUCGGAAUCACUGGGCGUAAAGCGCACGUAGGCGGAUUGCUAAGUCAGGGGUGAAAUCCUGGAGCUCAACUCCAGAACUGCCUUUGAUACUGGCGACCUUGAGUCCGGGAGAGGUGAGUGGAACUGCGAGUGUAGAGGUGAAUUCGUAGAUAUUCGCAAGAACACCAGUGGCGAAGGCGGCUCACUGGCCCGGUACUGACGCUGAGGUGCGAAAGCGUGGGGAGCAAACAGG
This 252-nucleotide ribosomal RNA is filed under the name uncultured bacterium. Its description in RNAcentral is "partial 16S ribosomal RNA". It matches the Rfam family "Bacterial small subunit ribosomal RNA", at positions 524 to 776 of the family's 1533-position model. The record is from RNAcentral.